GAGGGAUCAUUACACAAAUAUGAAGGCGGGCUGGAACCUCUCGGGGUUACAGCCUUGCUGAAUUAUUCACCCUUGUCUUUUGCGUACUUCUUGUUUCCUUGGUGGGUUCGCCCACCACUAGGACAAACAUAAACCUUUUGUAAUUGCAAUCAGCGUCAGUAACAAAUUAAUAAUUACAACUUUCAACAACGGAUCUCUUGGUUCUGGCAUCGAUGAAGAACGCAGCGAAAUGCGAUAAGUAGUGUGAAUUGCAGAAUUCAGUGAAUCAUCGAAUCUUUGAACGCACAUUGCGCCCUUUGGUAUUCCAAAGGGCAUGCCUGUUCGAGCGUCAUUUGUACCCUCAAGCUUUGCUUGGUGUUGGGCGUCUUGUCUCUAGCUUUGCUGGAGACUCGCCUUAAAGUAAUUGGCAGCCGGCCUACUGGUUUCGGAGCGCAGCACAAGUCGCACUCUCUAUCAGCAAAGGUCUAGCAUCCAUUAAGCCUUUUUUUUCAACUUUUGACCUCGGAUCAGGUAGGGAUACCCGCUGAACUUAA
RNAcentral lists this ribosomal RNA (533 nucleotides) under uncultured fungus. Its description in RNAcentral is "eukaryotic LSU rRNA". The stretch from base 178 to 331 matches the Rfam family "5.8S ribosomal RNA". The record is from RNAcentral. RNAcentral also lists the same sequence under 1 other name. Lineage: Eukaryota; Fungi.